CAACUACUCCCUCUGUCCCAAAUUUCUUGUCUUAGAUUUGUCUAGAUACAGAUGUAUCUAAUACUAAAAUGUGACUUGAUACAUCCGUAUCUAGAAAAAUCUAAGACAAGAAUUUUGGGACGGAGGGAGUACUUU
Non-coding RNA from Triticum aestivum (bread wheat), 135 nucleotides. NCBI's taxonomy places the organism in Eukaryota, Viridiplantae, Streptophyta, Magnoliopsida, Poales, Poaceae. The record is from Rfam.